ACUGACGUGGUGUAGCGGUUAGAACGCUGGCCUUAUAAUCCUGCGGUCUCGGGUUCAAUUCCCGGCGGUG
Zootermopsis nevadensis is the source of this 70-nucleotide non-coding RNA. NCBI's taxonomy places the organism in Eukaryota, Metazoa, Arthropoda, Insecta, Blattodea, Termopsidae. The record is from Rfam.